This 820-nucleotide long non-coding RNA is filed under the name Rattus norvegicus (Norway rat). RNAcentral describes it as "uncharacterized LOC100910620". Lineage: Eukaryota; Metazoa; Chordata; Mammalia; Rodentia; Muridae. The record is from RNAcentral.
UACUGGUGUCAGGGACGCAGAGCAGUGCCUCUGGGUUGCCGGUCCAGGGGAUGUGUCCCUGAGCAUUUGAGGAGAGGAGAGGGGGUGGUCAGCUGUUUCAUUUUGGGGUUCUUCCUGACCCUUAGAAGACUGAGAUGAGCCCGACUGCAAAGAAGAUGAAGUUGAAGUCACUCUUCUAGAAACUGGGCGGAUCUUGUGGUGAUAAAGAGGGAAGGAUGGGCCUUUGAACAUGGCUCAGCUUACCAGACAUCAUAUCUGGACCUGGAUCUUCCUGGCGUCACCCUCAUUGGCUGUCCUGGAGACACACUUUGCGAUCCCUGCAAGCUCAUUUCAGUCCUCAGAGUGCCUGCAACCCUUGCCACUGAGAUUCGAGUGAAGAAUGAGAUAAGUACUAAGAAUGUGGUCGAUUGGGCUUGAGUCCCCUCACAAACUUAUACUGGAUAACCCAGCAGGAGACUUCGCGUGCUGAACACUCCCCCGUGUGAUUCCCACAAUGAAAGGACAUUGCUGACUGGAACCAGAGUGUGUCCCCCAACCCCUCAUUUCCAAACCAUGUUCUGGCCAACUGACCAGACACAGGUCUCUAGUAGCUUCUGGUGUUUCAGAGACCAAGGAAGGUCAAGUUUGGUGAUAGUUCUAGAUUUCUUUGGCUUCUGUACACUCAGAGCUUACAUUAGGAGAACCCUCGUUCUCUCAUGAGUUCCCACACAGCCCGCUGUUCUGGUCAUGCUCUGCUGAAGCAGUCUGCCCAUCAUGGCCUGCUAACUGGUCUUCCAUGGAGGCACUGAGGCUGCGUCACCUUGACCUUCAGAGCCAUACC